UUAUAUUACUAGUUUUACAUCAAGUCCUAGUAGUAGAAAUGUAAAUGUGAGUACAGCUAUCACAUUGACAUGUAUUGUGCGCGGUACUACAUUGUUACCUGUAAAUGUUUCCAUAUCUAGUGUUUCUAGAGAAGGGAAUCUAACAUACGUCACCAGCUCUUCAAGAAGAAAAUUCACUGCAUCAACAAAGAUACAAUGUACCGAUUACAUGUUUCUCUGUACCGCAUACAAUGGUUAUAUUGAAGUUUAUACCCACAAGCUGUCUAUCAAUUUAAAGUGUUCAGUGACACUACUACUAGACAAAACAAACACAACGGUUAAUGCUACUGUUGGAUCUGAUCCUGUGUUACGCGCGUAUUAUGAUGGAUAUCCUUUUUCUAGCUUCACCUGGUACAGACGAUUAUCACAGGUUGAGGUUAAGAUGAACGGGUAUAGAACAAGUCAGUCAUGGUCCUAUGAUAGUCAUAAAUACAUUUAUCUUCAAAUCAAUAAUGUUUCUCUACAAGAUGCUGGACAAUACAGUGUUCAUAUUAAUGCUACUGGGAAAGGAUUUGUUGUUCUAUUCACAUUAAACGUAAAUCCAGUAAUGACAUCCAACUGGACAGUUGAUGCACUACAACAUAACUCUACUAUUAAAGCUGAAGCAACCACACUGCCGUUCAUUACCGCCGCUGGAUUGGGUAUUGGUAUCGCUGUAGGAGUUAUAACCACUCUUCUAGUACAGGGCGUGGUUUUGCUAGUUAGUAGAACUUUGAAAUCGCGAGCCAAUGUAGUUGUAGAUGUUAAAGACAAAGAAGCAAAAUCAACGAGCACCAACAAAGGCCAACAUAAAAACAGAACCAAACAAUCAGACUAUGACAACACUGCAUAUAAUCCAUCAGAAGAGGAAAUUUAUGAAAAUCUGGACGACGGACCAAAUCAAUCUGCUUAAGAGGACUACAACAGAUUGAUCAUUCUAGGUUCGAAAUAUUCCAGUUGGACCCCCGUCUUAAUCAAUGCGCAAUUUAUUAUUUUCUCACCGCCUUUCGGAAAAUCUGAGGACUAUUCAAAUAAGUUCGUCUGUGUGUCUCUCGGUCUGUCUGUAUAUACCACAUUUUAAAACACACUAACGUUGCUUGUAAUUUAAUUAUAAUGCUCAAACUUGGUAUAUAAUUGUUCAUUGCGUGCAUAUGUUGGCUUAGUUCGACGAGGAACAUUUACCGCUGAGGCUAAGCAGAGUGAUAAGCAAUUUGAUUGUCCGAUGUUUUAUAUAAAAGAUCAAUGUGCAAUUAAUUUUGAAAAGGCGGAGGAGAUCAUCUCACCGUUGGCUUGUUUCUAUGGUCAUGUGUACAAACAUUAUGCCAAGUAAUUAAUGAUUGUCAUCUAUUUAUUUUGGGAUUGAAAUGGGGGACAUGAUAUUUUUGUUUGCAGUUUCUUUAUUUAUAAUUAAAUUUGAUAUUAUAAUUUUUGUUUGCUGUUUGUUUAUUUAUAAUAAAUUUGAUAUAAAAAUUUUUGUUUGCCUGCGGUAUUCCCAACAUAAAUGUCAUUGUUUAACUGUCUGAAGUGCUGUCAGUGACCGCUUCCAUGAUCUCUUAAAAGGUGGCGUGUUUUGAGAAUUUUUCAUUAACCUUUCUGGAAUUGUAUGAAUCCUAUUGAUAUUCAAAGUCACGAAUAUAUUCGACAGAAAUUCAUUUUGCCACCAAAGUCAAAGUCUUUAUUAGGAAUUUAUUUUCAAAACCACAAAGGAUUUAGAUAAAGAGCUGAUAGUUCCUGCUAUAAUAGUUCAAAAAUAGAUAAUGAUAAUCUAAAUGCACAUAUAUAUUUUAUGAAAUUUAUGGUGAUUCCCAGAACCAACGUCAAACUUGACGUUGUCGCCACCACAGACCCCCCCCCCCCCCAUCCCCUUCUUAAGUUCCUGAACACGCCCUUGACUAUAUGCUUUAUUAUCUAUAUUUCCAUAUGUAUAGCUAUGGUGUUUUACAGUAUUUAUAGAAAAUAUUGGGUUAUUUUAAGGAAAGCUUUAAAAUCAUAUUUUACAUAAUGUGAGAGACAGUGAUAGGUGACAGAUUAAAAUCAUCAUAUGACGCCAUGUGUGAUACAAUCGGAGUGUUCCCACUUUGCCGGUAGGCUUUGAUGUCAAAUUUUGCCGCUAAUCCAGAGUUAUAAUCCUAGAACAAUGGUGUUAUAAACUAUAGUCCAUAUCUUUUUUAUGAAUAAAACUGUAUUGAUUUUAACAAAUUUAACUUUUAUCAAAUAACAUUAAAUAAUUUACACAUAUAAAAAUGUGGUAAGAACAUCAUUCUUGG
Long non-coding RNA from Patella vulgata (common limpet), 2285 nucleotides. RefSeq lists it as uncharacterized. The record is from RefSeq and is a predicted model, not a curated record. The transcript has 5 exons. Lineage: Eukaryota; Metazoa; Mollusca; Gastropoda; Patellidae.